This 222-nucleotide ribosomal RNA is filed under the name Bacteroidales bacterium. RNAcentral's name for it is "partial 23S ribosomal RNA". It matches the Rfam family "Bacterial large subunit ribosomal RNA", at positions 2691 to 2925 of the family's 2925-position model. The record is from RNAcentral. Lineage: Bacteria; Pseudomonadati; Bacteroidota; Bacteroidia; Bacteroidales.
ACCGUGUUGGACGCUCCUCUAGUGUACCUGUUGCGUCGCCAGGCGCACCGCAGGGUAGCUAUGAGCGGAAGGGAUAAGCGCUGAAGGCAUCUAAGCGCGAAGCCUGUCCCGAGAUGAGAUCUCCCUUGAGGGCCGUCGCAGACUACGACGUCGAUAGGCCGCAGGUGUAGAGUCAGCAAUGGCACAGCCGAGCGGUACUAAUAGCCCGAGAGUCUUCCUUCC